RNAcentral lists this ribosomal RNA (635 nucleotides) under uncultured archaeon. Its description in RNAcentral is "bacterial SSU rRNA". It matches the Rfam family "Bacterial small subunit ribosomal RNA", at positions 392 to 1043 of the family's 1533-position model. The record is from RNAcentral.
CGACGCCGCGUGCGGGAUGAAGGCCUUCGGGUUGUAAACCGCUUUCAGUAGGGAAGAAGCGAAGUGACGGUACCUACAAAAGAAGCACCGGCUAACUAUGUGCCAGCAGCCGCGGUAAUACAUAGGGUGCAAGCGUUGUCCGGAAUUAUUGGGCGUAAAGAGCUCGUAGGUCGUUUGUUACGUCGGAUGUGAAAAUCUGAGGCUCAACCUCAGACCUGCAUUCGAUACGGGCAAACUAGAGUUUGGUAGGGGAGACUGGAAUUCCUGGUGUAGCGGUGGAAUGCGCAGAUAUCAGGAGGAACACCAACGGCGAAGGCAGGUCUCUGGGCCAAUACUGACACUGAGGAGCGAAAGCGCGGGGAGCGAACAGGAUUAGAUACCCUGGUAGUCCGCGCCGUAAACGGUGGGUACUAGUUGUGGGAACCUUCCACGGUUUCUGCGACGACGCUAACGCAUUAAGUACCCCGCCUGGGGAGUACGAUCGCAAGAUUAAAACUCAAAGGAAUUGACGGGGCCCCGCACAAGCAGCGGAGCAUGCGGCUUAAUUCGACGCAACGCGAAGAACCUUACCAAGGCUUGACAUAUAGAGAAAAGUGGCAGAGAUGUCAUGUCCGCCAGGGCUCUAUACGGUGGUG